This 425-nucleotide ribosomal RNA is filed under the name uncultured bacterium. RNAcentral describes it as "bacterial SSU rRNA". It matches the Rfam family "Bacterial small subunit ribosomal RNA", at positions 356 to 773 of the family's 1533-position model. The record is from RNAcentral.
GGGGAAUUUUGGACAAUGGGCGAAAGCCUGAUCCAGCCAUGCCGCGUGCGGGAAGAAGGCCUUCGGGUUGUAAACCGCUUUCGGACGGAAAGAAAUCGCACGGGUCAAUACCCUGUGUGGAUGACGGUACCGUAAGAAGAAGCACCGGCUAACUACGUGCCAGCAGCCGCGGUAAUACGUAGGGUGCGCGCGUUAAUCGGAAUUACUGGGCGUAAAGCGUGCGCAGGCGGCUUUUUAAGCCAGACGUGAAAUCCCCGGGCUUAACCUGGGAACUGCGUUUGGAACUGGAAAGCUAGAGUGUGUCAGAGGGGGGUGGAAUUCCGCGUGUAGCAGUGAAAUGCGUAGAUAUGCGGAGGAACACCGAUGGCGAAGGCAGCCCCCUGGGAUAACACUGACGCUCAUGCACGAAAGCGUGGGGAGCAAAC